RNAcentral lists this ribosomal RNA (478 nucleotides) under uncultured bacterium. Its description in RNAcentral is "partial 16S ribosomal RNA". It matches the Rfam family "Bacterial small subunit ribosomal RNA", at positions 28 to 523 of the family's 1533-position model. The record is from RNAcentral.
GACGAACGCUGGCGGCGUGCUUAACACAUGCAAGUCGAACGGUAAGGCCCUUCGGGGUACACGAGUGGCGAACGGGUGAGUAACACGUGGGUGAUCUGCCCUGCACUUCGGGAUAAGCCUGGGAAACUGGGUCUAAUACCGGAUAGGACCACUGCCUGCAUGGGUGGUGGUGGAAAGCUUUUGCGGUGUGGGAUGGGCCCGCGGCCUAUCAGCUUGUUGGUGGGGUGAGUGCCUACCAAGGCGACGACGGGUAGCCGGCCUGAGAGGGUGACCAGACACACUGUGACUGAGAUACGGCCCAGACUCCUACGGGAGGCAGAAGUUGGGAAGAUUGCACAAUGGGCGCAAGCCUGAUGCAGCGACGCCGCGUUAGGGAUGACGGCCUUCGGGUUGUAAACCUCUUUCAGCACCGACGAAGCGCAAGUGACGGUAGGUGCAGAAGAAGGACCGGCCAACUACGUGCCAGCCGCCGCCGUAA